GACGAACGCUGGCGGCGUGCCUAACGCAUGCAAGUCGAGCGAGGUGUUCCCGCGAGGGGGCAUCGAGCGGCGAACGGGUGAGUAACACGUGGGCAACCUGCCCCAGAGACCGGGAUAACGCUCCGAAAGGGACGCUAAUACCGGGUGAUGCGCGAUCUGCCAAGUAGGUCGCGCCAAAUGGUAGCUUCGGCUUCUGCUCUGGGAUGGGCCCGCGCCGGAUUAGCUUGUUGGUGAGGUAACGGCUCACCAAGGCGACGAUCCGUAGCUGGUCUGAGAGGACGAUCAGCCACACUGGGACUGAGACACGGCCCAGACUCCUACGGGAGGCAG
Molecule: ribosomal RNA, 330 nt
Filed under: uncultured Actinomycetes bacterium
Lineage: Bacteria; Bacillati; Actinomycetota; Actinomycetes
Description: bacterial SSU rRNA
Rfam family: Bacterial small subunit ribosomal RNA
Source: RNAcentral